RNAcentral lists this unclassified non-coding RNA (323 nucleotides) under Hevea brasiliensis (rubber tree). Lineage: Eukaryota; Viridiplantae; Streptophyta; Magnoliopsida; Malpighiales; Euphorbiaceae. The record is from RNAcentral.
GUGUCAUUUUUUUUUUACAUCAAAAAAAUCAUAUAAUCCUAAUAUUAUCCUAUUUGAUUUCUUACAAAAUAAACAUUGUUAUAGGAAAUAUAAAGGUCCAUUGCCUAAUAUGAGUCAUCGGGAAUUGAUGAGAUGUUAUAAUUCAAAAUUCCCAUACUGGUUCUUUAAUCAUGCACAUGAACUUAUCUAAUAUGCUUGAUUUUAAUGAGUACAUUACUUUAUUCAUAUAAUUCAAUAUAAAUAACUAUAUAUCCACAUGAUUUGAUGAUAAACUUCUAGGUGGUUGAGUUACAUGCGUAAGGAGCAAUUUCUAAUGACUUACU